AAGAAACUUUCCCUUUGGCUGUUCUCUCUGGGCUGGAGGGACAGAGCAACCAUGCUAUAAGCAGCUUUUAGCCAGCUCUCCCCUGGAGUGGGGGUGAAAGUGCUUGAGGGUACCCCACAGGGAGGAAUUCCCAAGUGCUCCUUCCUGAGUUCAAAGCGGUUUUUUUUGCAUAUGGGUGGUGGCAGCGUUUACCAAGCCGAGCACUUUAAAAUGUGGCAGACAUGCAGCUCUUAUGGCAUCCCACUUCAUGGGGUGUGAAGUCAUGUCUCACCAGCUUGUGGUUAUUGCUCAUAUCUUCUGGAGAAAACCAUGGCCAUUAGGAGGAUGUAAAACUUUGCUUUCAAUUGAAGAGCAUGGAACCCUUGUAAAUGUGUAUUCCUUCCAUUGCUUCUAAUGCUAUUACAAUUUCAUGGACCCACUGCUCUCUGAUAAUUAGCCCAGAAUAGGAAAGCAUAUGAUAUUCCCGGGGUUCCAAGCAGAUACUUAUGUCCCUGUAGUGGGGCAGUCACCCCACUCCCUGGCUAAGAGGGGUUAAAAGCAGCCCUAGAGAGGGCUGCAGCUGAGAAAAAGGGUAAGCUGAUUGGGGAAACAGCCAUAGUUGGGGCCAUGCCCCAAUCAGGCCACAGCUGGCCCUAUAAAAAGGCUGUGAGGCAGCAGCUUAGGUAGUCUCUCUCUAGCAGUGGAGAGAGAAGGACUUAGCUGUUUGGGAGCUGAGCAGGGUGCCUGAGGUGGAGCAGGGCUAG
Trachemys scripta elegans is the source of this 743-nucleotide long non-coding RNA. RefSeq lists it as uncharacterized. Lineage: Eukaryota; Metazoa; Chordata; Testudines; Emydidae. The record is from RefSeq and is a predicted model, not a curated record. The transcript is spliced from 3 exons.